GAUGAACGCUAGCGGCAGGCUUAAUACAUGCAAGUCGAGGGGCAGCAGGACUGUAGCAAUACAGUUGCUGGCGACCGGCAAACGGGUGCGGAACACGUACGCAACCUUCCUUCAAAUGGGGGAUAGCCCACCGAAAGGUGGAUUAAUACCCCGUAAGAUUUUCUGGUGGCAUCACUGGAUUAUUAUAGCUCCGGCGUUUG
This 200-nucleotide ribosomal RNA is filed under the name uncultured bacterium. Its description in RNAcentral is "partial 16S ribosomal RNA". It matches the Rfam family "Bacterial small subunit ribosomal RNA", at positions 28 to 221 of the family's 1533-position model. The record is from RNAcentral.